GGAUUGUGGCUCAGCGGUAGAGCGCCUGCUUCGAACGUGCGAGACCCUGGGUUCGAUCCUCAGCACCA
RNAcentral lists this transfer RNA (68 nucleotides) under Marmota monax (woodchuck). RNAcentral describes it as "tRNA.Ser". The stretch from base 5 to 65 matches the Rfam family "tRNA", at positions 6 to 65 of the family's 71-position model. From Rfam's summary of the family: Transfer RNA (tRNA) molecules are approximately 80 nucleotides in length. Their secondary structure includes four short double-helical elements and three loops (D, anti-codon, and T loops). Further hydrogen bonds mediate the characteristic L-shaped molecular structure. tRNAs have two regions of fundamental functional importance: the anti-codon, which is responsible for specific mRNA codon recognition, and the 3' end, to which the tRNAs corresponding amino acid is attached (by aminoacyl-tRNA synthetases). tRNAs cope with the degeneracy of the genetic code in two manners: having more than one tRNA (with a specific anti-codon) for a particular amino acid; and 'wobble' base-pairing, i.e. permitting non-standard base-pairing at the 3rd anti-codon position. Lineage: Eukaryota; Metazoa; Chordata; Mammalia; Rodentia; Sciuridae. The record is from RNAcentral.